UAAUGAGUGUGGGAAGGUUCUCAAUACUUUGCUUAAGCAAGAAAAUAAUUCAAAAUUACUAUUCUUUAGGCCAUACUUGUCUCCACAUCAUUAAUUAUAAGUUAAUUAUUAAUCAAUUAAAACUAUGAUACCUUCCCUAUUCGCGCCCACCUUGGCUAGCACAGCGCACCCAGCACCAGCAAGUUGGUACGCCUCCUCAGCCUGUAGUACUCGUGCUAGAAUAGAGUGAAAUAGAAUGUAUGAAUUUUGUUCAAUAAUAAUAUACAAACUAUUAGAGUAUUCAUUGGGUUGAAAUAUACAUUUCAAAAGUAGUAAAAUAAAAUAGGUCGACAGCAUUUUUUUUUAUUAUGAAUGAUUUAAAUAUAUUAAUUUAUAAAUCUUAAUUAAGUAAAUCAAUUAAAGAAUCAGCUAGUUGAUCACAUAACACUAGCUUCAAUCUACUAGCUUACCUCAUAUAAGCCUUCCACUCCUCCAAACACUUCAAUUUUGAGUAAGCUUCUUAAUUUCCAGGUACCUAUUUAAGGUCAUCGUACCUUCC
Molecule: long non-coding RNA, 538 nt
Filed under: Lupinus angustifolius (narrow-leaved blue lupine)
Lineage: Eukaryota; Viridiplantae; Streptophyta; Magnoliopsida; Fabales; Fabaceae
Description: long non-coding RNA (LANG_LNC000920)
Source: RNAcentral